CGGACGGGUGAGUAAUGCCUAGGAAUCUGCCUGGUAGUGGGGGACAACGUUUGAAAGGAACGCUAAUACCGCAUACGUCCUACGGGAGAAAGCAGGGGACCUUCGGGCCUUGCGCUAUCAGAUGAGCCUAGGUCGGAUUAGCUAGUUGGUGAGGUAAUGGCUCACCAAGGCGACGAUCCGUAACUGGUCUGAGAGGAUGAUCAGUCACACUGGAACUGAGACACGGUCCAGACUCCUACGGGAGGCAGCAGGA
This 253-nucleotide ribosomal RNA is filed under the name uncultured Pseudomonas sp. Its description in RNAcentral is "partial 16S ribosomal RNA". It matches the Rfam family "Bacterial small subunit ribosomal RNA", at positions 99 to 354 of the family's 1533-position model. The record is from RNAcentral. Lineage: Bacteria; Pseudomonadati; Pseudomonadota; Gammaproteobacteria; Pseudomonadales; Pseudomonadaceae.